CAGCAGCCACGGGAAUACAGAGGGUGCGAGCGUUAAUCGGAUUUACUGGGCGUAAAGCGUGCGUAGGCGGCUUCUUAAGUCGGAUGUGAAAUCCCUGAGCUUAACUUAGGAAUUGCAUUCGAUACUGGGAAGCUAGAGUAUGGGAGAGGAUGGUAGAAUUCCAGGUGUAGCGGUGAAAUGCGUAGAGAUCUGGAGGAAUACCGAUGGCGAAGGCAGCCAUCUGGCCUAAUACUGACGCUGAGGUACGAAAGCAUGGGGAGCAAACAGGAUUAGAUACCCCAGUAGUCCCUGUCUCUUAUAC
Molecule: ribosomal RNA, 301 nt
Filed under: uncultured bacterium
Lineage: Bacteria
Description: partial 16S ribosomal RNA
Rfam family: Bacterial small subunit ribosomal RNA
Source: RNAcentral